RNAcentral lists this long non-coding RNA (556 nucleotides) under Junco hyemalis (dark-eyed junco). Its description in RNAcentral is "lncRNA (ENSJHYG00000001941.1)". Lineage: Eukaryota; Metazoa; Chordata; Aves; Passeriformes; Passerellidae. The record is from RNAcentral.
UGUCCCUGUGGUCCCAGUGGUCCCGGGGAUGUGUCCCGGUGGUCCCGGGGUGUGUCCCGGCGGUCCCGGGGGUGUGUCCCGCCCGGUGCCCGGGGCGGUCCGGCCGUGCCGCUGCCCGCGCUGUCCCCGCCCCGGCCCGGCCGGUGCCGCCCAUUUCCGCCGGGCGGAGCCGCCCCUCGGCCCCGCAGCGGCCCCGCCGCCAGCGCCCGCCCGGCCCGGCCCGGCCCCGGCCCCGCUCGCUCCGGUGCAGCCCCGCCAUGGCGGGCGGCCCGGCCGCGCUCGCCCUCGGGGGAUGGAUGCCCACCCAGAACCGGAAUGCCAAGGGAUGGACACCCACAGGGAUGGAUGCCCACUGAUCCUACUGGAAUGCCAGGGGAGGGAUGCCCACUCAGAACUGGAAUGCCAAGGGAUGGAUGCCCACUCAUUCCACUGGAAUGCCAGGCAAUGGAUGCCCACAGGGAUGGAUGCCCACCGAUCCCACCAGGAUGCCCACAGGGAAUUCCUGCGUUUUCCUUCAAAAUCCUGGAGAUUUUUCCUUAAAAAUCUUUUUCCUUAA